Molecule: ribosomal RNA, 495 nt
Filed under: uncultured bacterium
Lineage: Bacteria
Description: partial 16S ribosomal RNA
Rfam family: Bacterial small subunit ribosomal RNA
Source: RNAcentral
GACGAACGCUGGCGGCGUGCCUAAUACAUGCAAGUAGAACGCUGAAGGAGGAGCUUGCUUCUCUGGAUGAGUUGCGAACGGGUGAGUAACGCGUAGGUAACCUGCCUGGUAGCGGGGGAUAACUAUUGGAAACGAUAGCUAAUACCGCAUAAGAGUAGAUGUUGCAUGACAUUUGCUUAAAAGGUGCAAUUGCAUCACUACCAGAUGGACCUGCGUUGUAUUAGCUAGUUGGUGAGGUAACGGCUCACCAGGGCAACGAUACAUAGCCGACCUGAGAGGGUGAUCGGCCACACUGGGACUGAGACACGGCCCAGACUCCUACGGGAGGCAGCAGUAGGGAAUCUUCGGCAAUGGACGGAAGUCUGACCGAGCAACGCCGCGUGAGUGAAGAAGGUUUUCGGAUCGUAAAGCUCUGUUGUAAGAGAAGAACGAGUGUGAGAGUGGAAAGUUCACACUGUGACGGUAUCUUACCAGAAAGGGACGGCUAACUACGUG